ACCUGUACAUGCCCUUCGGGGUAACACACAAACUCUAGUGUUGUCUAUGUAUGUCUAGUUAUUCAUAACAAGUAUAACUUUCAACAACGGAUCUCUUGGCUCUCGCAUCGAUGAAGAACGCAGCGAAAUGCGAUAAGUAAUGUGAAUUGCAGAAUAGUGAAUCAUCGAAUCUUUGAACGCACCUUGCGCCCCGACGGGGCAUGCCGGUUUGAGCGCCUGUUCAUCCUGCACUAGUGGAUUCUUCUAUUAGAGCGAUGUGAGUGUUGCUGGUCUUACCAGCUCGCUCUGAAUGCAUUAGCAGCAGUUAGGCUUGUGACAACGUGAUAAGUCGUCGUUGAAGCAAUGCUGAGCCGCCGCUCCUAAUCGUCUUCGGACAAUAACCUAAUGCUAGGCAUCAAAGCGGUAGGACUACCCGCUGAACUUAAGCAUAUCAAUAAGCGGAGGAAG
RNAcentral lists this ribosomal RNA (447 nucleotides) under Dacryopinax spathularia. RNAcentral's name for it is "eukaryotic LSU rRNA". The stretch from base 76 to 218 matches the Rfam family "5.8S ribosomal RNA". Lineage: Eukaryota; Fungi; Basidiomycota; Dacrymycetes; Dacrymycetales; Dacrymycetaceae. The record is from RNAcentral.